UGCUCCAUCUCUUAAGAAAGGACGCGGGGGGCCUGUCUUAUAAUAAAGGGGGUACUCUCUUCUCUGAUGUGCGCUAUAUUAUUGUGUCCUAUUCCUUAAGGAGUGAUCCGGGAUUAAGCCACAUGGCGAUACCCGCCAAAAGAAAGGGGGCCUUUCGUACGGAUUGGAGUACGAAGAUAAUUAUUCAGCACACUAAAAUCUAGUGGAUGGGGUUCCAUAUUCAUGAAAAGCCGGGGUUGAAACAUGUUAUGAAACUAAGACAACAAUUAUUUCUAAUAAUAAGAAAGAGUUAAGCGCCUCCAAGGGCCUGUCUUAUAAUAAAGGGGGUACUCUCUUCUCUGAUGUGCGCUAUAUUAUUGUGUCCUAUUCCUUAAGGAGUGAUCCGGGAUUAAGCCACGUGGCGAUACCCGCCAAAAGAAAGGGGGCCUUUCGUACGGAUUGGAGUACGAAGAUAAUUAUUCAGCACACUAAAAUCUAGUGGAUGGGGUUCCAUAUUCAUGAAAAGCCAGGGUUGAAUCAUGUUAUGAAACUAAAACAACAAUUAUUUCUAAUAAUAAGAAAGAGGUAAUCGCCUCCAAGGCCUAUAAAUAGAAGCUUCUUUCAGUCUAUAUUUUCAAAGAGAGACGUAGAAAUCAAAAAGAAAUACUUUAAGUAACACUUAUUCCAACAACACUGAAAUGGAUAUCGUCGGAAGACUUGCAACAAUUCAAGAAUCAAUUCAAGCCGUCGAAAACGAAAAAGAACAAAGGCAGCAAACCCUGGCUGCCUUUUGGGAGCACCUGCCUCCCAUCGAUCCUGCACUUGUGGCUGCAGCCAUGCAGUGGAUCCGGGACCGCAUUAGCGUCCUGGAAGACAGGAAACGGUCAAAAAGAAAUAUUUUAAGUACACUUAUUCCAACAACACUGAAAUGGAUAUCGUCGGAAGACUUGCAACAAUUAAAGAAUCAAUUCAAGUCGUCGAAAACGAAAAAGAACAAAGCAGCAAACCCUUGCUGCCUUUUAGGAGCACCUGCCUCCCAUCGAUCCUGCACUUGUGGCUGCAGCCAUGCAGUGGAUCUGGGACUGCAUUAGCGUCCUGGAAGACAGGAAACGGGCCCUCCUCCAAGAACAGGAAGACCUAAUUGUGGGUGCUGUCAUCCGUGGUCGCCAGGGAGACUAGAAUAGAAGAGCCCGUCGACUCUUUUUAGUUUUAGAAGGUUUAAAUAAGUGUCUGUAGACGCAAAGUAGUGUGUUUCUUCUUUUUCUUUGUUUGGUGGAGAUCUACUCCUAUCCUAAGU
RNAcentral lists this long non-coding RNA (1276 nucleotides) under Nicotiana benthamiana. Its description in RNAcentral is "long non-coding RNA (NBEN_LNC004933)". The record is from RNAcentral. Lineage: Eukaryota; Viridiplantae; Streptophyta; Magnoliopsida; Solanales; Solanaceae.